Molecule: ribosomal RNA, 465 nt
Filed under: uncultured bacterium
Lineage: Bacteria
Description: partial 16S ribosomal RNA
Rfam family: Bacterial small subunit ribosomal RNA
Source: RNAcentral
GAUGAACGCUGGCGGCGUGCUUAACACAUGCAAGUCGAACGGAAAGGCUCCUGCUUGCCGGGGUCCUCGAGUGGCGAACGGGUGAGUAACACGUGGGUGAUCUGCCCUGCACUUCGGGAUAAGCCUGGGAAACUGGGUCUAAUACCGGAUAGGACCACAUUUUGGAUGGUGUGGUGGAGAGUUUUUCGGUGUGGGAUGAGCUCGCGGCCUAUCAGCUUGUUGGUGGGGUAAUGGACUACCAAGGCGUCGACGGGUAGCCGGCCUGAGAGGGGGUACGGCCACAAUGGGACUGAGAUACGGCGCAGACUCCUACGGGAGGCAGCAGUGGGGAAUAUUGCACAAUGGGCGCAAGCCUGAUGCAGCGACGCCGCGUGGGGGAUGACGGCCUUCGGGUUGUAAACUCCUUUCGCUAGGGACGAAGCGCAAGUGACGGUACCUGAAGAAGAAGCACCGGCUAACUACGUG